This is a non-coding RNA of Cricetulus griseus (Chinese hamster), 778 nucleotides long. Lineage: Eukaryota; Metazoa; Chordata; Mammalia; Rodentia; Cricetidae. The record is from RefSeq and is a predicted model, not a curated record.
UUUCUCUUUGCUUCUUGCUGUACAGACUGUUGCCACGCUGGCUGGCUAGAUCGCUCUGCAAGAUGAAGCCAAGCCAUCUUUAUGGACCCUGACAGUCACAAACCCAAGGAAAUGAGUUCCACCCUCAGAAGCCAUGUGAAAAGGCAGCAUCGGUGAAGUAGUCAUCCUAAUACUGAGGAGAUAGUCAAAAUUAGAUGCCUGAAAAUUGAUGGCGAACCAGUCUAGCCUAACUGAAAGUCCCAGGCAAGGUCUAUACAAGGCAUGAUGCAGCUAGCUUUCCCAGAACUUGACCAUUAUCUUAAUUUUCUCAAAGUCCCUAAAGAUUACUACCAGCCAAAGACAAGAAGUAAUAUAGAGAACACAACACCCAAAUUCCAAAGACAUGAGCUGAUGGAAGCAGAAGCAGACACCCACAGCUAAACACUGAACUAAACUCUGGAAUUCAGUUGCAGAGAGGAAGAAGUGAUAAGCCAAGGAGUCAAAACCAGGGUGGAGAGACCCACAGAAACAGCUGAUCUGAAUAAGGUGGAGCUCAUGGACCCCAGACUGAAAGCUGAGAAUACAGCAUAGGACCAACAUAGACCCGCUGAAUGUGGGUGUCAGUUAGGAGGCCUGGCCAAUUUAUGGGGCCUCUAUCAGUAGAUAAAAAUUUAUCCCUGGUAUACCAAUGGACUUUGGGAGCUCAUCCCACAUGGAGUGAUUCUCUCUCAGCCUGGACACAUGGAGGAUGCCUAGACCCUGCCCAGUAUGAUAUGACAGACUUUGGAGAACCCCCAUA